AUAAAAUUGAUGACCUACGCGGAACAUUAUACUACCAACGGGACAUUCAAAACUCUAAUAUCUUAUGCUUCACAGAUUCAUGGCUGAACGGCGACAUUAUCAACAUAGAACAAUGGCGUCUGGGGGAUGUGUUCGUUGCCAUGGGUUUCCACAAGCGGAGUUACGGACGUUUCCAUGGACGCAUCUACUUACAGGACUCGGCUCCUACGGAUGCGUCGCUGGUCAUCACAGAGCUCACACUGGAGGAUUAUGGGAGAUAUAAGUGUGAGGUCAUCGACAGGAUGGAAAACGGCUCGGGUGUGGUGUCUCUGGACCUACAUGCUGGUUCGUUACAACCUGAACUUCUUUGACGCUGAGUGGGAGUGUUCCGAUCAGGACUCCAUCAUGGCGUCGUUUGACCAGCUGUAUGAGGCUUGGCAUGGGGGUUUGGACUGGUGCAACGCACGGUGGGGGAGUGAUAGGUAGGUUCUCACACACAUUGAGAACCUAUUACAUUUACAGAGAAAAAAAGGGGGAGGGGGAUGUGGGAGAGGAGAUAGGAGAGAGGGAGGUCAUGUGGAGGAAGUUAGUGGUAUCACUAAAACUGUGAUAUUUUAUUUUUAGAUACUGUAAAACACGAGGUGUGAGACAAAAUCCAUGUUUUUUUUGUAAUCUGGGACCUGAAAUUGUACAGACAUAGUUUACGCCUGUACAAUUUAAGGUUCAUUUGAUUUAAUCUCUUAUUUCUAUGCAGGAACAGAAAGGGAAGAUGGAUUUGAGGGAGGGAGGGACGGAGAUAAAGAUGAUGUCACAUAUUCCCAAAGUGACAUUGUUAGUGGAUUAUUCAUGCCAUAGCCCGAAGGACGUGUUUAGACUGAGAACAACCUGGUACAACUUCUGAUAAUUGGACUGAUACCUUUGGACACUUACCUGUUCUGUGCAAUUAAACCUAGGACAACAAAAGAACAACACUAUUUACACAAAAACUAAACGCAAAGAUGGUGUAAACGCAAAAAUGUGUAGAGGAUGAAGUAGAGGCAUAGCGGUAGAGGAUAUAGUAGGAUGAUAGGGAUAUGGGAUAUAGUAGGUUAGUAGAAGGGGACAUAUUAGGAGCCCUUGGGGUAGAGGAUAAAUCAGAGGAUGGGUGCAGAGGAUAUAGUAGGAGGAUAUGGGUAGGGGGUAUGGUAGGAGGAAAAGGGUUAGAGGAUAUAACAAGAGGAUAGUGGUAGAGGAUAUAGUAGGAGGAUAGGGGUUGGUGAUAUAGUAGGAGGAUAGGGGUAGAGGAUAUAGAAUGAGCCCUUGGGU
Oncorhynchus keta (chum salmon) is the source of this 1284-nucleotide long non-coding RNA. RefSeq lists it as uncharacterized. The record is from RefSeq and is a predicted model, not a curated record. The transcript has 3 exons. NCBI's taxonomy places the organism in Eukaryota, Metazoa, Chordata, Actinopteri, Salmoniformes, Salmonidae.